This 18-nucleotide small RNA is filed under the name Arabidopsis thaliana (thale cress). RNAcentral describes it as "ATSL061690". The record is from RNAcentral. Lineage: Eukaryota; Viridiplantae; Streptophyta; Magnoliopsida; Brassicales; Brassicaceae.
AACAAAACUAAAAAAAAA